This is a long non-coding RNA of Helianthus annuus (common sunflower), 429 nucleotides long. RefSeq lists it as uncharacterized. NCBI's taxonomy places the organism in Eukaryota, Viridiplantae, Streptophyta, Magnoliopsida, Asterales, Asteraceae. The record is from RefSeq and is a predicted model, not a curated record. The transcript has 4 exons.
CUUAUGUUUGAUACCAGAUCUUAUUCCAGUGAUUAAUAUCCGCUUGAGUAACCCAAUCUGAGUCUGAUUUUUUUCGUUAACGAUUCAGGUGUUUAUUUUGGAUGGUCCGGAGUUUUUGGCUGCAACUAUGUUGGACAGAGAUAUGCUUGCUAUGGCUGGAAAUUGGUACCAUGUCGGUUGGUUUUGCUUGGCAAGAUUUGUGACGAUGCGUCGGACAAACAACAUUGGGAUAAGAUACAGCCUUGAGCCUUGGCAAGUUAACACAUUAGUUAGGGUUAUGAAGUUUUUCAUGGCACCGACACAUUAUUGAGCAGUAGCGCAUCAGACUCCUUCCCCUACAAGGAACUCUUGAAUGGGAUCUUAUGAGAAGUUGAAGGAAAGGUAUAUCUUGCACAUUUCUUUAUCUAUAUCUAUAUAUCGAUAUAUCUA